CACCCUGCACAGGUGCCCUCCUGCGUCCUCCAGGUUCAGGGCCGCGCCCUGCGCCACCAGCAGCGAGAUGAUCCUGUCGUGCCCUGCUUUCACCGCUUGCAGCAGCGGCGAGUUCCCAAACUUAUCUGCGUUGCGUUCUCAGGAACCUGACGAUGUCUUCGUAUCCUCUCAAUGCAGCAACAUGCUGCAAGACAAAGAAAGAUGAAGGCAAAGAACGGUGAUUAACCGAGAAUUUGGGAUGGAAUCUUGUAGUUAAUGAGUGAGCUCCUGUAAAAAAAUAAUCUGCAAGAUCGAGUUCACGUACUAAUGCGGUCCUCCCGUCGUGAUCCGGUUUACUCGGAUCUGCUCCUGCGCUGAUCAAGCCUUUCAACCGAAACAAAUCUCCAUGGUAGGCAGCAUUGUUGACUCCAAGGACAAGCUCUGCUUCUUGCUUCGCUAUCAGGAUGCUAGUCAGGGACUGCUUGUCAAUUCUCAAGAGGCUGCAGAGUUCACAGACUCUAACUGUGUAUGGCUGUGGAGUGUUGCAGAUUAUAGCAACAUCGCCGACUAUGUCGUUAGGCAGCAGUUCUGACAUGAUCUCUUCUGAUACGCCUUCUCCAGUGCUGACCUCUUCCUGUCAGAGUACAUGGAACAUGACAGCUGAAGUGGAAGUAGUACCAGACAUCCAUGUGCCACAAUGUAAAUUUGAUCCACCACAGUGCCUUGCUCCAAGAUAACUUCUCCAGGGAGGAAGAAUUCUUCAUGUAAUUUCACCACCUGAAGUUGCCAAUUUAGGCAUUGGAUAAAUUAUCAACUUAAACUAAUCAUAUUGAGAGAAAUAUGCAUAGAUCCACUGAAGUCUUA
Long non-coding RNA from Brachypodium distachyon (stiff brome), 843 nucleotides. RefSeq lists it as uncharacterized. Lineage: Eukaryota; Viridiplantae; Streptophyta; Magnoliopsida; Poales; Poaceae. The transcript is spliced from 5 exons. The record is from RefSeq and is a predicted model, not a curated record.